This 253-nucleotide ribosomal RNA is filed under the name uncultured Ktedonobacter sp. RNAcentral's name for it is "partial 16S ribosomal RNA". It matches the Rfam family "Bacterial small subunit ribosomal RNA", at positions 524 to 776 of the family's 1533-position model. Lineage: Bacteria; Bacillati; Chloroflexota; Ktedonobacteria; Ktedonobacterales; Ktedonobacteraceae. The record is from RNAcentral.
UACGUAGGGGGCAAGCGUUGUCCGGAGUUACUGGGCGUAAAGCGCACGCAGGCGGUCCUCUGCGUAGAGGGUGACAGUCCUCGGCUUAACUGAGGAAGCGCUCUUUAAACGGGGGGACUUGAGGGCCAGAGAGGGAGACGGAACUCCGGGUGGAGCGGUGAAAUGCGUAGAGAUCCGGAAGAACACCGAAGGCGAAGGCAGUCUCCUGGCUGGUUCCUGACGCUCAGGUGCGAAAGCUAGGGGAGCAAACAGG